This 276-nucleotide ribosomal RNA is filed under the name uncultured bacterium. RNAcentral's name for it is "partial 16S ribosomal RNA". It matches the Rfam family "Bacterial small subunit ribosomal RNA", at positions 515 to 791 of the family's 1533-position model. The record is from RNAcentral.
CCGCGGUAAACGUAAGGUCACAAGCGUUGUCCGGAAUUACUGGUGUAAGGAGCGCAGGCGGGAAGGCAAGUUGGAAGUGAAAUCCAUGGGCGUCAACCCAUGAACUGCUUUCAAAACUAGUUUUUCUUGAGUAGUGCAGAGGUAGGCGGAAUUCCCGGUGUAGCGGUGGAAUGCGUAGAUAUCGGGAGGAACACCAGUGGCGAAGGCGGCCUACUGGGCACCAACUGACGCUGAGGCUCGAAAGUGUGGGUAGCAAACAGGAUUAGAUACCCUUGU